Saccoglossus kowalevskii is the source of this 76-nucleotide non-coding RNA. Lineage: Eukaryota; Metazoa; Hemichordata; Enteropneusta; Harrimaniidae. The record is from the annotation of a RefSeq genome assembly.
GGCGCUAUGGCUUAGUUGGUUAAAGCGCCUGUCUAGUAAACAGGGAGAUCCCUGAGUUCGAAUCUCAGUGGUGCCU